Zootoca vivipara (common lizard) is the source of this 638-nucleotide non-coding RNA. The record is from RefSeq and is a predicted model, not a curated record. NCBI's taxonomy places the organism in Eukaryota, Metazoa, Chordata, Lepidosauria, Squamata, Lacertidae.
CUUGCGCGCUUUUCUCCUCUCUCUGUCUUUCCCCCCCCCUCCGUCUCUGGCAAGGAAAAGAGCAGAGGACUGCCCCCUCCCCUUGGGGUGUGUGUGGCCUUUGGCCACGCCCCCUGGGAAUCCCGGCCAGCACGUCAUCGCCAGCUAGCCAAUCGGGUGGCUGGGGGCAUGGCCGGGGGCGUGGCCGGAUCCCUUUAGCGAGCGGAGAGGCUGGGGAAAAUGCUUUGCUUGUGCCUCUACUCGCGGUAAGCAGGGGGCGUGUUUCGGCCCCCUGCUGCAGCCUAUCCCUGCUGCCCUGCAGAGGCUCUUGGCUGGCCUAUAGGGCCAGCUGGGGGGCGGGGUUUUACUACAUUUUGGCCGGCGCGGCAGCAUUCAAACCCUUUUUCUGCUGCUGCACCACAUCGGAUUUCCAUCGUUACCUGCCUUCGGAGGGAUUUUUCUGCAGCCUCUGCUGAGCCUCAUUACCUUCCUGCUUCUCUCCUGGUGACACACGACCUGAGUUAUGCUCGGUUUUUUGGCAAAAUUUGACACACCAAGCUCAAAAGGUUGCCCAUCACUGCUCUAGACCCUUGCCUCCAGUCCUCCAGACCCGCACAGGAGAUCGUGCCCUCUGCCUGGCUGUACCCUGCCUCCACCAG